RNAcentral lists this ribosomal RNA (253 nucleotides) under uncultured bacterium. RNAcentral describes it as "partial 16S ribosomal RNA". It matches the Rfam family "Bacterial small subunit ribosomal RNA", at positions 524 to 776 of the family's 1533-position model. The record is from RNAcentral.
UACGUAGGUGGCAAGCGUUGUCCGGAUUUACUGGGCGUAAAGAGCGCGCAGGCGGUCGUUCAAGUCGCGUGUGAAAGCCCCCGGCUCAACUGGGGAGGGUCACGCGAUACUGAUCGACUCGAAGGCAGGAGAGGGUAGUGGAAUUCCCGGUGUAGUGGUGAAAUGCGUAGAUAUCGGGAGGAACACCAGUGGCGAAGGCGACUACCUGGCCUGUUUUUGACGCUGAGGCGCGAAAGCUAGGGGAGCAAACGGG